Molecule: long non-coding RNA, 618 nt
Organism: Vespa crabro (European hornet)
Lineage: Eukaryota; Metazoa; Arthropoda; Insecta; Hymenoptera; Vespidae
Exons: 2
Source: RefSeq, a predicted model, not a curated record
AGUUAGAAAUAGCAACCAUUAUGAAAACACGAGCGGGAUAUUCAAAAUAAUAUACAUUUCAAUGGAUACAUAUCAUAAAGGUAAAGGAAAUUCUUCCUAGCAAGGAUGUCUGAAUCCCGCUAGAGAAGAGAGGAGAAGGAGGAGAGGAAGAGAUGGGAAUGGGGAGAAGGUUGGGGGGGUGGGGAUGGGUGAAUGCGUGAGUAAGGGGUAGAGGUGUAUAGGGGUAAGGUCGAAACGAAGGAAGGAACUCUGGUGUAAACUCGCGAGAGAGGCGGCGGUAUCUCUCUUCGAGUACGGCGGUGUAUUGAACUCGGUGCUCGAGGUCGUUGAACUCGCGUGCGGGCGGCGUGGCUCUGGUGUGUGGCUUAUGACGUCACGUGACUCGCUGUCUCCGUCGCCGUCUCCGCCGGCGGCUGGGUCGACGACGACAACAACGACAACAACGACGAGGACGACGAGGACGACGAGAACAACAAUAACAACGACAACGACGACGACGACGACGACGAAAACGAGCGAAGCGAAGUGACAAUCAAUUUUGAGAUAAGAAUCGAUGCUGAGCAGUAAAUAUUUGAUCGAAAGGAAAGAAGAAAGAAGAAAUAAAAAAAGAAAAAAGGA